ACUUUACUCUCACUGUCCAUUGGCAUGGCCUGGGAAGCUAGCAUAAAAAACACAGCCGUGCUUGGGCCCCAAUCCCGCAAUGCAGGUUUACCCGGGUUUUGUCAGUUCUCCUGGCAGAAGUGCAUACUACGAGUUCCCAGGUGAUACUCCUGUACUUUAUGCUGGGAUAACGUAAAGCCUAACAGUGACAUCGUACUCCCUUGUCACCAAAACUCACAUGUGGGGAAGAAUUUCUGAAACAAAAUUCCCUAGUACAUGUGACAUGACUAUGCUGUUUUGGGGACCAUUCUUGUCUUAGGACAAUUUCUGUCAAUGUUUAAAUGAAUGAUUUGAUUAUUUGUUUGAAUGCAGGAGAAGAUAACAGGCCUGCUUAGGGUAGGAAUUGCAUCAACGAAAAUACUGUGGAAUGACCUAAAUGUACAAUCAACAAAGCUUUAGGGUAACCCACCUAUUUUUGUGAUGCUUCUAUAUGAGCCCUUAGGAGUGUGUCAAAGUGGACAGACACUCUGGCUGCAGGAGCCCCUACCACAGAGACCCCGCCUCAGAAGAUGCAUUCAUGUGUGCCUUGCUUUAAACCAUCUCCAGUGAUUAAAACAGAAGUUGGAAAACAGACUACUGGGGACUUACUUUCCAACAUAUUUUUUAAACUUUAAAUUUUACUUGCUCUGGAAUAAUUUUAAAUAUUGGAUUGCUCCGUUAUUUGAAGUUGGAAGUUAUUUUCUAAAAUGUGAUUUACAGACAUUUCUACAGACAUUUCAGGAACAUCUCUUUGCCAGCAAAAUUUCACAACAAUCUUCCAAAAAUUUAAUUGCUUCUUUAUCAUACAACUGGAGAAGUGGUUUACCUGACUUGUUUGGCUCUGUCAAGCUCUGGAGGAAGAGACAGUUGGUCACCACCCGCUGUGACUCGUGGCUAAGUGGAGUGUUAUGACAAUAAGCACAACAGAUUCCAUAAGCACUACUCACUUGGCUCGCCUUAUUUAUAUUGGCAGAAGACAUUUUCAGCUCGCCCCUGCACCAAUGCAUACUAUUAGAGCUGGUUCCUAUUAAAUGUAAUAAUUUGGUUUUCCUCUUUGGGAUAUUACUUCUUGAGGCCAAAAUCUUUGGUAAUGAGAUUGGAUUGUGACAAAGGGACAAAUAUAGAUUGUUUUCUUUGAGUAUCUUAUUUCUAAUUCAAGCACAUGU
RNAcentral lists this long non-coding RNA (1184 nucleotides) under Equus caballus (horse). RNAcentral describes it as "lncRNA (ENSECAG00000048046.1)". The record is from RNAcentral. Lineage: Eukaryota; Metazoa; Chordata; Mammalia; Perissodactyla; Equidae.